RNAcentral lists this ribosomal RNA (504 nucleotides) under uncultured bacterium. RNAcentral describes it as "partial 16S ribosomal RNA". It matches the Rfam family "Bacterial small subunit ribosomal RNA", at positions 28 to 523 of the family's 1533-position model. The record is from RNAcentral.
GAUAAACGCUAGCGGCAGGCUUAACACAUGCAAGUCGAGGGGCAGCAUAGAUUGUAGCAAUACAAUUGGUGGCGACCGGCGCACGGGUGCGUAACGCGUAUGCAACCUACCCGUCACAGGGGGAUAACCCGGAGAAAUCUGGUCUAAUACCCCAUAACAUAUGGAUCGGCAUCGGUUAAUGUUGGAAGUUUCGGAGGUGACGGAUGGGCAUUCGUAGCAUUAGCUUGUUGGUGAGGUAACGGCUCACCAAGGCGACGAUGCUUAGGGGGACUGAGAGGUUUUCCCCCCACACUGGUACUGAGACACGGACCAGACUCCUACGGGAGGCAGCAGUGAGGAAUAUUGGUCAAUGGGCGCAAGCCUGAACCAGCCAUGCCGCGUGCAGGAUGACGGCUCUAUGAGUUGUAAACUGCUUUUGUACGAGGGUAAAGUGGGUUACGUGUAACCUUUUGAAAGUAUCGUACGAAUAAGGAUCGGCUAACUCCGUGCCAGCCGCCGCCGUAA